UACGGAGGAUGCGAGCGUUAUCCGGAUUUAUUGGGUUUAAAGGGUGCGCAGGCGGCACGGCAAGCCGGCGGUCAAAUCGCGGGGCUCAACCCCGCCCAGCCGUCGGAACUGCCGGGCUAGAGUGGGCGAGAAGUGCGCGGAAUGCGUGGUGUAGCGGUGAAAUGCAUAGAUAUCACGCAGAACUCCGAUUGCGAAGGCAGCGCACCGGCGCCCUACUGACGCUGAGGCACGAAAGCGUGGGUAUCGAACAGG
This 252-nucleotide ribosomal RNA is filed under the name uncultured bacterium. Its description in RNAcentral is "partial 16S ribosomal RNA". It matches the Rfam family "Bacterial small subunit ribosomal RNA", at positions 524 to 776 of the family's 1533-position model. The record is from RNAcentral.